AGAGCGAACGCUGGCGGCAGGCUUAACACAUGCAAGUCGAGCGGUCGUAGCAAUACGGCAGCGGCAGACGGGAGAGUAACACGUGGGAACGUACCCUUCAGUUCGGAACAACCAAGGGAAACUUUGGCUAAUACCGGAUACGUCCGUAAGGAGAAAGAUUUAUCGCUGAAGGAUCGGCCCGCGUCUGAUUAGCUAGUUGGUGAGGUAACGGCUCACCAAGGCGACGAUCAGUAGCUGGUCUGAGAGGAUGAUCAGCCUCACUGGGACUGAGACACGGCCCAGACUCCUACGGGAGGCAGCAGUGGGGAAUAUUGGACAAUGGGCGCAAGCCUGAUCCAGCCAUGCCGCGUGGGUGAUGAAGGCCCUAGGGUUGUAAAGCCCUUUCGGCGGGAAGAUAAUGACGGUACCCGCAGAAGAAGCCCCGGCUAACUUCGCGCCAGCAGCCGC
RNAcentral lists this ribosomal RNA (447 nucleotides) under uncultured bacterium. Its description in RNAcentral is "SSU rRNA". It matches the Rfam family "Bacterial small subunit ribosomal RNA", at positions 26 to 518 of the family's 1533-position model. The record is from RNAcentral.